Molecule: transfer RNA, 72 nt
Filed under: Lachnospiraceae bacterium
Lineage: Bacteria; Bacillati; Bacillota; Clostridia; Lachnospirales; Lachnospiraceae
Description: tRNA-Glu
Rfam family: tRNA
About the family: Transfer RNA (tRNA) molecules are approximately 80 nucleotides in length. Their secondary structure includes four short double-helical elements and three loops (D, anti-codon, and T loops). Further hydrogen bonds mediate the characteristic L-shaped molecular structure. tRNAs have two regions of fundamental functional importance: the anti-codon, which is responsible for specific mRNA codon recognition, and the 3' end, to which the tRNAs corresponding amino acid is attached (by aminoacyl-tRNA synthetases). tRNAs cope with the degeneracy of the genetic code in two manners: having more than one tRNA (with a specific anti-codon) for a particular amino acid; and 'wobble' base-pairing, i.e. permitting non-standard base-pairing at the 3rd anti-codon position.
Source: RNAcentral
GGCUGAUUGGUCAAGCGGUUAAGACGCCGCCCUCUCACGGCGGAAUCAGGGGUUCGAUUCCCCUAUCAGCUG